UUGAGGGUUCCAAUAGGCUAGCAGCGAUUUCGUGUAAUGCAAGCACGAGUUCAUUUCUUCCUCCAUAUUCUAGAGAGGCCUUUAGCCAACAGAUUUUGGGAUUUGAUGAUACACCAUAAAGCCAUGGACGUGAAACCUAGAUAGAUCUGUUUUGUCACUUCCCUUCAGGCUGUAGUAAUGCUGUGCGCAUGCGUAGUCUCAUGCAUGCGUGGAAUUCAACAUCCAAGCUUUCCCGCUUUAUUCUGUCUUUUUCUCGACUGGCCAGCGAUUGAGCAAGGACGUGUCUAGCUGUCUCUCUCCAUCUUUCGAACUCACGCUAGACAGCUCACAUCAACAUACCAACGUCUCAACAACCAUGUUCUCACACACAGAAGGUGUCUCAACAACCAAGAGUAAAGCUGUAUAUUUUCCACCUUAAAUAAAUAUUGUUGAGUUGAUA
Long non-coding RNA from Octopus bimaculoides (California two-spot octopus), 439 nucleotides. The record is from RefSeq and is a predicted model, not a curated record. NCBI's taxonomy places the organism in Eukaryota, Metazoa, Mollusca, Cephalopoda, Octopoda, Octopodidae.